AAGCUCAUAUGAGCUUUUUUUGAUUGUUCAUAACUAGAUUUCUUGUUAAAUCUCAAAAAAUAAGCUAUAAUUAAUCAUAGCACUUAGUUUAGAAAGAAGGUGUAAGU
This 107-nucleotide small RNA is filed under the name Streptococcus uberis 0140J. RNAcentral's name for it is "Streptococcus sRNA SSRC41". It matches the Rfam family "Streptococcus sRNA SSRC41". The record is from Rfam by way of RNAcentral. Lineage: Bacteria; Bacillati; Bacillota; Bacilli; Lactobacillales; Streptococcaceae.